Molecule: long non-coding RNA, 575 nt
Filed under: Monodelphis domestica (gray short-tailed opossum)
Lineage: Eukaryota; Metazoa; Chordata; Mammalia; Didelphimorphia; Didelphidae
Description: lncRNA (ENSMODG00000050189.1)
Source: RNAcentral
AGGGCAACCGAGGCUGGACUGAAUCAGACUGCUUCUGCUCAACUGCCUCUGGGCUCAGGAGAAGCUUUCUGUUUGCUGCUUGCUGUUCUCCAUCACCAUGAAUCCUCACUGACAAGAGCAGUUGAUAUUCCCGGUGAACUAGGGGCUAUUAUUCCCAGAAUACAUGAAGAACCAAAGGCUGAGAAAGAAUCUCUGAAAUUACUGUCAUUUGAGAAAACAAUUUCAUCAAAAGAAAGUAUUGUGCACAGCCUACCAAAUCCAAAACUAUCUGUGAUCUCCACAAUUAAGUCCAAGCUUUUUAAGGCGCUGAAGAAAAGAAUUUUUCCCCCUUAAAGAGAGGGCUAUAAUACAAAACAAUGAAGAAAAAAAAACCCAGAGGAUGAACAGUUAUAUUCAAUCAAGACGUAUCUCUUACCAUCUCUGUAAAGACUGCAUCUUCCAAUAGGCAGAUGCAAUAAUAGCUUUUUUUUUUUACCCUCCUUCAAUUUUCUACUUAUCAGCUUUGUAGAUGAAAAGCUUCCUUACUAAACAAAAUUUUGAAUAAAAGCCUUAACUUAAUAUUAACCUGUUUGCUG